Molecule: RNA transcript, 1438 nt
Organism: Aplysia californica (California sea hare)
Lineage: Eukaryota; Metazoa; Mollusca; Gastropoda; Aplysiida; Aplysiidae
Exons: 4
Source: RefSeq, a predicted model, not a curated record
CUCAUAGCUUUUCCAAACCGAGGCUCAUUAUUCGCUGAAUUAUCGACGAAAAGGGCUUGGUCAACUGCUGGAUGCUGUUGUCAGAACGGGUGAGCAAAUCGACUGCAUUCUACCGUAGGCCUAAUACACAUCCUUUUUGAGGAUUCGUUUUGCAGCAGAUUUGUUAGACGUCAGCUGAAAGAAGGCUGAAGCUGAAGAAUUCAAAGCAGUGAUCAACGUGAACUGAUACAUCAUCAUGAACAAGUUCCAGGAAGGUCUCCAGCAGCAACGUCGACUCAUUGAGCAGCUGAGGUGCGAGGCCCAGAUCACCCGAUUCCGUGUGUCCCAGUGCAUUGAUGACCUCCAGAAGUACUGUGAUACCCAUAUUGAGGAGGACUAUCUGAUCCGGGGCUUUAGCAAGCCCAGCGAGAACCCCUUCAAGGAAAAGGGCAGCUGCGCGAUAUUGUAGGAGCAGCCAGUAUUUAUAUUGCCUUUCUCACCUUCGCCAAUAACUUUUUGUACACCCAACACACUUGUAAUUUUUUUUCAUCGUAACUGAGAAGGUUGAAUUUUGCUCUUGAUUUUGGCAUAUGUAUAGAUGGCAAAAUUAAAAAGAUGAUCUGCUCUUUGACUCUACACUCAUUGUUUGCCUUUGUCAAAGUUCAGAAUCUCAACUCAAUUCCCCCCCCCCUCUGACAACUAUAAAAAUGACAACUAUAAAAUAGGAAGCCUUGAAAAAGAAAAUUCAUGUUGAUGUCAACUGUGAAAAGUUGUGUGUAGUCUUUGUAGUUGAACAAUUGUGGACAGUGUGUAGUCUUAUGAUCUUCAUUCAUAAAUACAUUUAAAAGAAAAUGAAACUGAAUUAGACUCCUUCAUUCAGCAUCUUCUUGUGCUGUACUCCUCAUGAAGUUUCGGUUCGUUUUCAUGACCGACACACAAUGAGGAUGCGACACAUUAAUAGAGAACCAAGAUCAAAUACAUGGCUGUAACGAGCCUGAAAACUUUCAUUUUUGCCUGUAUGUAUGUGUUGUUCGAUGUUGUACUUGUAUGUUAACUCCAUGUUUGAUCUAAUUUCUGAUUUUGGCAAUGGAAGGAAAGGUCGAAAGAACCCCUUGGGUAUAGUGUGUGCAUUUAGUCCCCCCACCACCACUUUCAGUUGGUUUGCGUGGAAUAGUGGUAUGUUGCAUUUGGCUAUCUUAUCUGCUCAUGCCAUGGAUGUAGAAAUAGUGAAUUGUGAAUUUGGUCCAUAGAUUUUCUAAAACUACAAUCAUCAAACAAAAAUAUGAAGUAAAUGGUGGAUUUGGGAAUAAUUAAUGUGUCAUCAUUUUCUAUGAAUUUUAGUCGUAAAUUUUUAGAUUGUAAGAUUCAAAGAUUUGGUUUUGUUCUUGUUAUGAGUUCUUGUCAAUGUUUGUAUGACUGAGCACAUUAAAUGUGGAAAAUAAAAUCUCAGAAAACAAAA